GCGAGCUUAGCUCAGUUGGGAGAGCGUUAGACUGAAGAUCUAAAGGUCCUUGGUUCGAGCCCGAGAGUUCGCA
This 73-nucleotide transfer RNA is filed under the name Nematocida parisii ERTm1. Its description in RNAcentral is "tRNA-Phe (GAA) (tRNA-Phe-GAA-1-1)". It matches the Rfam family "tRNA". From Rfam's summary of the family: Transfer RNA (tRNA) molecules are approximately 80 nucleotides in length. Their secondary structure includes four short double-helical elements and three loops (D, anti-codon, and T loops). Further hydrogen bonds mediate the characteristic L-shaped molecular structure. tRNAs have two regions of fundamental functional importance: the anti-codon, which is responsible for specific mRNA codon recognition, and the 3' end, to which the tRNAs corresponding amino acid is attached (by aminoacyl-tRNA synthetases). tRNAs cope with the degeneracy of the genetic code in two manners: having more than one tRNA (with a specific anti-codon) for a particular amino acid; and 'wobble' base-pairing, i.e. permitting non-standard base-pairing at the 3rd anti-codon position. RNAcentral also lists the same sequence under 1 other name. Lineage: Eukaryota; Fungi; Microsporidia. The record is from RNAcentral.